AUGUAUGUGUGUGUGUAUGUGCACGUGUGUAUACACAUAUAUACACACACACAUAUAUAUAAGGCCAGCA
This 70-nucleotide microRNA precursor is filed under the name Otolemur garnettii (small-eared galago). Its description in RNAcentral is "miRNA (ENSOGAG00000021014.1)". Lineage: Eukaryota; Metazoa; Chordata; Mammalia; Primates; Galagidae. The record is from RNAcentral.